AAGAGGUUUUUGAAGCAUUCCUUCCCUUUUCACAUCAGCUGCUCCUGAGUAUGUCUCAGUGUUGACUCCUCACCAUAUGCAGCGAACCAGAUCCUAAGUACCACAGCAGUCCUCCCAAAAUGUACUGAAAAUAACGUUAUGGCAGUAUCACUAUGCUACAUAAAUAAUGUAAUGUUUUUCGUCUUAACGGGACACAAGGAAUCUUAAUUUUUAACAAGUUUUUAAAUAUUAAGAAACCCUAACGUGGUGAAUGCCAAAUCCUACCAAAGAAUCAAAGCAGGGACUAUGGCAGGGGGCAUUUGCAACUUCUGGUAUCAUUUCCUUCACUUGUAACGAAGAAAUAACUACAAAGAACAAGCAAGGAGAGUAGGAAUGAAGGCCUGCUUAUGAGGUAGGACGAUUUUACUAUUUGCUAUGCCACUGGGACCACAGUGGUUCAUUCCCUCAACCAAAGAGCAGUGGUGCUGCCUGCGAUGAGUCACUCUGCAUCCCAGGCUGGCUCAAAUAACCUUUGUGUUCCUUAAGGCUAAAGAAUUUC
Molecule: long non-coding RNA, 538 nt
Organism: Centrocercus urophasianus (Greater sage-grouse)
Lineage: Eukaryota; Metazoa; Chordata; Aves; Galliformes; Phasianidae
Exons: 3
Source: RefSeq, a predicted model, not a curated record